AUCGCUUCUCGGCCUUUUGGCUAAGAUCAAGUGUAGUAUCUGCUCUUAUCAAUUUAAUAUCUGAUAUGUCCUCUAUCUGAAGACAACAUAUUAAAUGGAUUUUUGGAACUAGGAGUUGGAAUAAAG
Molecule: small nuclear RNA, 126 nt
Filed under: Nannospalax galili (Upper Galilee mountains blind mole rat)
Lineage: Eukaryota; Metazoa; Chordata; Mammalia; Rodentia; Spalacidae
Description: U2 spliceosomal RNA (ENSNGAG00000003730.1)
Rfam family: U2 spliceosomal RNA
About the family: U2 is a small nuclear RNA (snRNA) component of the spliceosome (involved in pre-mRNA splicing). Complementary binding between U2 snRNA (in an area lying towards the 5' end but 3' to hairpin I) and the branchpoint sequence (BPS) of the intron results the bulging out of an unpaired adenosine, on the BPS, which initiates a nucleophilic attack at the intronic 5' splice site, thus starting the first of two transesterification reactions that mediate splicing.
Source: RNAcentral